RNAcentral lists this ribosomal RNA (396 nucleotides) under uncultured bacterium. RNAcentral describes it as "bacterial SSU rRNA". It matches the Rfam family "Bacterial small subunit ribosomal RNA", at positions 975 to 1375 of the family's 1533-position model. The record is from RNAcentral.
CUACCCUUGACAUGGCAGGAAUCCUAAAGAGAUUUGGGAGUGCUCGAAAGAGAGCCGUAACACAGGUGCUGUAUGGCUGUCGUCAGCUCGUGUCGUGAGAUGUUGGGUUAAGUCCCGCAACGAGCGCAACCCUUGCCAUUAGUUGCUACGAAAGGGCACUCUAAUGGGACUGCCGGUGACAAACCGGAGGAAGGUGGGGAUGACGUCAAGUCCUCAUGGCCCUUAUAGGUGGGGCUACACACGUCAUACAAUGGCUGGUACAAAGGGUUGCCAACCCGCGAGGGGGAGCUAAUCCCAGAAAACGCAUCGUAGUCCGGAUCGUAGUCUGCAACUCGACUACGUGAAGCUGGAAUCGCUAGUAAUCGCGGAUCAGCAUGCCGCGGUGAAUACGUUCCC